RNAcentral lists this ribosomal RNA (433 nucleotides) under uncultured bacterium. RNAcentral's name for it is "partial 16S ribosomal RNA". It matches the Rfam family "Bacterial small subunit ribosomal RNA", at positions 29 to 507 of the family's 1533-position model. The record is from RNAcentral.
AACGAACGCUGGCGGCAUGCCUAACACAUGCAAGUCGAACGAGACCUUCGGGUCUAGUGGCGCACGGGUGCGUAACGCGUGGGAACCUGCCCUUAGGUUCGGAAUAACUCCCCGAAAGGGGUGCUAAUACCGGAUAAUGUCUUCGGGCCAAAGAUUUAUCGCCUUUGGAUGGGCCCGCGUUGGAUUAGCUAGUUGGUAGGGUAAAAGCCUACCAAGGCGACGAUCCAUAGCUGGUCUGAGAGGAUGAUCAGCCACACUGGGACUGAGACACGGCCCAGACUCCUACGGGAGGCAGCAGUGGGGAAUAUUGGACAAUGGGCGAAAGCCUGAUCAAGCAAUGCCGCGUGAGUGAUGAAGGCCUUAGGGUUGUAAAGCUCUUUUACCCGGGAUGAUAAUGACAGUACCGGGAGAAUAAGCUCCGGCUAACUCCGUG